GACGAACGCUGGCGGCGUGCUUAACACAUGCAAGUCGAACGGAAAGGCCCUGCUUUUGUGGGGUGCUCGAGUGGCGAACGGGUGAGUAACACGUGAGUAACCUACCCUUGACUUUGGGAUAACUUCAGGAAACUGGGGCUAAUACCGGAUAGCAUAUCCUGCUGCAUGGUGGGGGUUGGAAAGUUUCGGCGGUUGGGGAUGGACUCGCGGCUUAUCGGCUUGUUGGUGGGGUAGUGGCUUACCAAGGCUUUGACGGGUACCCGGCCUGAGAGGGUGAACGGCCACAAUGGGACUGAGAUACGGAGCAGACUGCUAUGGGAGGCAGCAGUGGGGAAUAUUGCACAAUGGGCGGAAGCCUGAUGAAGCAACGCCGCGUGCGGGAUGACGGCUUGCGGGUUGUAAACAGCUUUCGCCUGUGACGAAGCGGGAGUGACGGUAAUGGGUAAAGAAGCACCGGCUAACUACGUG
Molecule: ribosomal RNA, 468 nt
Filed under: uncultured bacterium
Lineage: Bacteria
Description: partial 16S ribosomal RNA
Rfam family: Bacterial small subunit ribosomal RNA
Source: RNAcentral